Molecule: long non-coding RNA, 510 nt
Organism: Callithrix jacchus (white-tufted-ear marmoset)
Lineage: Eukaryota; Metazoa; Chordata; Mammalia; Primates; Cebidae
Source: RefSeq, a predicted model, not a curated record
CACAGCUUCCUCUAACAGUCAGGCUGUUCCCAGCCCUUGUGGAGGAGGCAGGAGACGGCCACUAGCUGGGACACUAGGGCAGAUGCAUUCGAGGUCACAGUGGAAGAAGCUACUCUCAUGAAUACCUGUGGGACAAAGGGCUGCUUCAUGCAAGAGAAAGUCCCUUUGCCCAACAUGAAGCCAAGUGCCAGUUCAACAGCUGUAAAGCGCACCCAUUCAUUCCAAGGAAGGAUUCAAACAGAAAUCCUGUAUCUUCCACUUAGGGUUGUGCAGCAUCCCCGAAGUCUGGUCAAAGAGCUUCACCUCAGGAAGUCUCCUUUCACUUCUAUCCGUGGAGGAGCUGGAAGGAUGGAGAGCCACAGGAACCUCUUAAACAUCCUUCCUCAGGGCGCUUGAGUGUUUGAGGUUUUCCCCACUGGCCCCACCUCACUGCCUUCCACUAGAUAUUCCCCCUUCAAGUCCAGGGCAGAGAUUGGCAAACUACCUGUGACCCAUCACUUGUUUUCCUAA